AUCCAGACUCCUACGGGAGGCAGCAGUGGGGAAUAUUGCACAAUGGGGGAAACCCUGAUGCAGCGACGCCGCGUGAGCGAUGAAGUAUUUCGGUAUGUAAAGCUCUAUCAGCAGGGAAGAAAAUGACGGUACCUGACUAAGAAGCCCCGGCUAACUACGUGCCAGCAGCCGCGGUAAUACGUAGGGGGCAAGCGUUAUCCGGAUUUACUGGGUGUAAAGGGAGCGUAGACGGCUGUGCAAGCCAGAUGUGAAAGCCCGGGGCUCAACCCCGGGACUGCAUUUGGAACUGUGUGGCUGGAGUGUCGGAGAGGCAGGCGGAAUUCCUAGUGUAGCGGUGAAAUGCGUAGAUAUUAGGAGGAACACCAGUGGCGAAGGCGGCCUGCUGGACGAUGACUGACGUUGAGGCUCGAAAGCGUGGGGAGCAAACAGGAUUAGAUACCCUGGUAAUA
This 449-nucleotide ribosomal RNA is filed under the name uncultured bacterium. RNAcentral's name for it is "bacterial SSU rRNA". It matches the Rfam family "Bacterial small subunit ribosomal RNA", at positions 329 to 795 of the family's 1533-position model. The record is from RNAcentral.